CGCGGGAUAGGGUAGUGGUUAGCCCAUCGGGCUCAUGACCCGGGAAUUGUUGGUUCGAAUCCAGCUCCCGCUA
Molecule: transfer RNA, 73 nt
Filed under: Halobacteriovorax sp.
Lineage: Bacteria; Pseudomonadati; Bdellovibrionota; Bacteriovoracia; Bacteriovoracales; Halobacteriovoraceae
Description: tRNA-Met
Rfam family: tRNA
About the family: Transfer RNA (tRNA) molecules are approximately 80 nucleotides in length. Their secondary structure includes four short double-helical elements and three loops (D, anti-codon, and T loops).
Source: RNAcentral